AACGAACGCUGGCGGCAGGCUUAACACAUGCAAGUCGAACGCACCUUUCGGGGUGAUUGGCAGACGGGUGAGUAACGCGUGGGAAUCUACCCUUCUCUACGGGAUAGCUCCGUGAAACUGGACUUCAUACCGUAUACGUCCUGAGGGAGUAAGAUUUAUCGGGGAAGGAUGAGCCCGCGUUGGAUUAGCUAGUUGGUGGGGUAAAGGCCUACCAAGGCGACGAUCCAUAGCUGGUCUAAGAGGAUGAUCAGCCACAUUGGGACUGAGACACGGCCCAAACUCCUACGGGAGGCAGCAGUGGGGAAUAUUGGACAAUGGGCGCAAGCCUGAUCCAGCCAUGCCGCGUGAGUGAUGAAGGCCCUAGGGUUGUAAAGCUCUUUCAGUGGGGACGAUAAUGACGGUACCGACAGAAGAAGCCCCGGCUAACUUCGUG
Molecule: ribosomal RNA, 433 nt
Filed under: uncultured bacterium
Lineage: Bacteria
Description: partial 16S ribosomal RNA
Rfam family: Bacterial small subunit ribosomal RNA
Source: RNAcentral